RNAcentral lists this ribosomal RNA (463 nucleotides) under uncultured bacterium. RNAcentral's name for it is "partial 16S ribosomal RNA". It matches the Rfam family "Bacterial small subunit ribosomal RNA", at positions 28 to 507 of the family's 1533-position model. The record is from RNAcentral.
GAUGAACGCUGGCAGAAUGCUUAACACAUGCAAGUCGAUGGGGAAGUGGUGCUUGCACCAUGGUAACCAUGGCGGACGGGUGAGUAACGCGUAAGGAACUUACCUGCGGGACCGGGAUAACAGCAGGAAACUGCUGACAAGACCGGAUAAGGUCAUUAAGCUGCAUAGCUUAGUGAUGAAAGGAGACGCCUGCGGAGAGCCUUGCGUCCUAUUAGCUAGUUGGAGGGGUAACGGCCCACCAAGGCGAAGAUAGGUAGCCGGCCUGAGAGGGUGGACGGCCACAAGGGGACUGAGAUACGGCCCUUACUCCUACGGGAGGCAGCAGUGGGGAAUAUUGGACAAUGGGGGCAACCCUGAUCCAGCAAUUCUGUGUGCACGAAGACGGUUUUCGGAUUGUAAAGUGCUUUCAGUAGGGAAGAAGGAAGUGACGGUACCUGCAGAAGAAGCGACGGCUAAAUACGUG